Molecule: long non-coding RNA, 703 nt
Organism: Suricata suricatta (meerkat)
Lineage: Eukaryota; Metazoa; Chordata; Mammalia; Carnivora; Herpestidae
Exons: 3
Source: RefSeq, a predicted model, not a curated record
UGGCAGAACACACCUCUAAUCCCAACAAUUCUGUUUUCAGAGCUUGUGAUCUCUAUUGUCUUGCUAUAUUAUCUCACAGCAGAACAAACUCCUUCGCUACGGAAAACUUAACGAGGCCCUCCAAUGUCAUGAGAGGGAAAGAAGAGAGAGAGAAAUGUUACGACUCAAAUGCUUCUCUGCAGAAACAAAUUGUGCAGACCCCUCGCAAUCGCCUGAGUGUCCUGUGGCUUUAUCAAGUAGCCAGGAUGGCGAGCAUGGGUUGAUGGACAGCUCUGUGAAUAAUAAGAGAUUCUGGAACUCAAGACAGUGCUGUUCUUUCCUCCGUGCAUCUGUCAACCAUUCUCUCUACUAACUUUGUUUCCAUCCAAAUCAACCACAACAUGGGAUUUACUCCCUCAGCAGAUUCCAUUUGAGCGGGGAAGGAGGCAUGGCAAAAUAAAAAAGAUGAACUGUAGAGGUGGGUAGGAAUUCAAUUUCUGGCUCCCCCACUUAUGUGCUCUGUGACUCGUGGGUACAUGUAUCUUCGGAGACCCUUGCCAGUAAAAUAAAGGCAAUGCAUGCUUAAUGCGUGGUGGGGCAGAGGCUGCAGGCCCCCCACCUGUGUCCCCCUGGUACUCGUGUCCCCGUGCUUGCCAACAGCUUCCUGUUACAAGCACAGGAAAACCUUGGAUUGUGAGUUACUUGUUCUGCAAGUGUUCCACAA